RNAcentral lists this ribosomal RNA (407 nucleotides) under uncultured bacterium. Its description in RNAcentral is "partial 16S ribosomal RNA". It matches the Rfam family "Bacterial small subunit ribosomal RNA", at positions 30 to 526 of the family's 1533-position model. The record is from RNAcentral.
AUUGAACGCUGGCGGCAGGCCUAACACAUGCAAGUCGAACGGAGCGGCGGACGGGUGAGUAAUGCCUAGGAAUCUGCCUGGUAGUGGGGGAUAACGUCCGGAAACGGGCGCUAAUACCGCAUACUAUCAGAUGAGCCUAGGUGGGAUUAGCUAGUGGGUGGGGUAAAGGCCUACCAAGGCGACGAUCCGUAACUGGUCUGAGAGGAUGAUCAGUCACACUGGAACUGAGACACGGUCCAGACUCCUACGGGAGGCAGCAGUGGGGAAUAUUGCACAAUGGGCGAAAGCCUGAUCCAGCCAUGCCGCGUGUGUGAAGAAGGUCUUCGGAUUGUAAAGCACUUUAAGUUGGGAGGCGUUACCCACAGAAUAAGCACCGGCUAACUUCGUGCCAGCCGCCGCGGUAAUAC